GUGGGGAAUCUUAGACAAUGGGGGAAACCCUGAUCUAGCCAUGCCGCGUGGGCGAUGAAGGCCUUAGGGUUGUAAAGCUCUUUCAGCUGGGAAGAUAAUGACGGUACCAGCAGAAGAAGCCCCGGCUAACUCCGUGCCAGCAGCCGCGGUAAUACGGAGGGGGCUAGCGUUGUUCGGAAUUACUGGGCGUAAAGCGCGCGUAGGCGGACCAGAAAGUUGGAGGUGAAAUCCCAGGGCUCAACCUUGGAACUGCCUUCAAAACUCCUGGUCUGGAGUUCGAGAGAGGUGAGUGGAAUUCCGAGUGUAGAGGUGAAAUUCGUAGAUAUUCGGAGGAACACCAGUGGCGAAGGCGGCUCACUGGCUCGAUACUGACGCUGAGGUGCGAAAGCGUGGGGAGCAAACAGGAUUAGAUACCCGUGUAGUCC
Molecule: ribosomal RNA, 425 nt
Filed under: uncultured bacterium
Lineage: Bacteria
Description: partial 16S ribosomal RNA
Rfam family: Bacterial small subunit ribosomal RNA
Source: RNAcentral